GACGAACGCUGGCGGCGUGCUUAACACAUGCAAGUCGAACGGAAAGGCCCUGCUUUUGUGGGGUGCUCGAGUGGCGAACGGGUGAGUAACACGUGAGUAACCUGCCCUUGACUUUGGGAUAACUUCAGGAAACUGGGGCUAAUACCGGAUAGGAGCUCCUGCUGCAUGGUGGGGGUUGGAAAGUUUCGGCGGUUGGGGAUGGACUCGCGGCUUAUCAGCUUGUUGGUGGGGUAGUGGCUUACCAAGGCUUUGACGGGUAGCCGGCCUGAGAGGGUGACCGGCGACAUUGGGACUGAGAUACGGACCAGACUCCUACGGGAGGCAGCAGUGGGGAAUAUUGCACAAUGGGCGGAAGCCUGAUGCAGCAACGCCGCGUGCGGGAUGACGGCCUUCGGGUUGUAAACCGAUUUCGACUGUGACGAAGCGUGAGUGACGGUAAUGGGUAAAGAAGCACCGGCUAACUACGUG
This 468-nucleotide ribosomal RNA is filed under the name uncultured bacterium. RNAcentral's name for it is "partial 16S ribosomal RNA". It matches the Rfam family "Bacterial small subunit ribosomal RNA", at positions 28 to 507 of the family's 1533-position model. The record is from RNAcentral.